Molecule: long non-coding RNA, 1789 nt
Organism: Lathyrus oleraceus (garden pea)
Lineage: Eukaryota; Viridiplantae; Streptophyta; Magnoliopsida; Fabales; Fabaceae
Exons: 6
Source: RefSeq, a predicted model, not a curated record
CCCGUCGCGUCUCCUACACGAAAGUGAUCCCUGCGACCUAGCCGUCAUUCACGACCUCAAAAAUAUCUCUCAAAACGCAAAUUCCGCCGCGAAUGACCAACCUCCAAGGAUUCGCUCGCCAUCGAACUUCAAACGAGGCCACAAUACCAAUGGAAGAAACAAGGACGCUCUCAAGAUUUGCAGAAUCGAAAUAUAAAGAGGAGAAGAGACCUAUCGGUGCGAAGUGUCGUCAAUGUUCAUCGACCCUCAACCGUGGUGUAUUGACGAUGAAUGUUGGAGGUUCCACUCGCGCGCAAGCUUUGUCUUCGUAACGAACAUGCGGUUGAUGGUGAAGCUUUGAUUCCGAUCCGUGCUUGCGUUUGUCGAGAAGAUCUUCCUCGAAACUCCCCUGGUUCGAGCGAUCGUAAACAGAGCGAUGGCGAAGGUUGUUGUUAAUGGAAAGACAGUUCUGUUGAAUUUGGUUCCACAGUUGGAGAGAGUUCAAAAAGUUCUUCAAGAUUUCUGAACGCUCAUUCUGUUAUAGGUGGUUGCAGGUUUUUGUUCAGGGUGAUUGCAAGUUCUGUUUUGUUCUACAAUUGGAGGAAAUUGGAGUUCUCGGGUGAAGAAGCCGGUUAGGGUGAAGGAGAUUGGAGAGAAAAAGAUUCAAAAUAGAAGAGACUUGGGAGUGAAGAAAAAAUGGAAUUGAAGUAGAAGAUUAGGGAAGAACAAAGCAGGAAGGGAUUGAAGUAGUCCAACAAAAAUUGAAAAUUGGCGGAGCACGGUAUCAUGGAAUUAACCGAGGGAGAUCGGAGGAAUUCCAUUCUCUUCGCGUCAAAGAAGUGGACUCAAGGCCAAAAAACUUCAACCGAUAUCAAGAACAACAUGGAAAUGAGGCUAGCAAUUUGCAUCAAGUAAUGGAAUGAAAUCAUGACACCACGUUUAUUACGAUAAACUGAAGCAACUUACCAGAAUGAAGCAACGCGGAGGUUCCAGUGUCGUUCACAGGUUCGAAUCAGUUGGAAACUUCUAGAAAGAGCUGUCAAUCCAAUUAAUCAGGAAACCAUUCUGUCAGUAGAAGCUUGCCCAACCAAUUAGUAAGGGCGGAUUCAGGUUGUGGCUUUGAAUCAUGCUGUUGGAGGUUAGGUGGAUAUUAGAAAGGGCCUCCAACGGCUUUCUAGAAGCAUUCCAACUGCAGUUGCUGAUGAUUUUGCUCAGGUUAAUGGUUAAAUCAAUGGAAGCUAGUUAGUGAAACUGGUUAGCUAUAUCUAGAAAGCAGAAUGCAGAUUGGGCAAUAAAGUGCAGGUUGAGUUGGCGGUUAACUGAACUUACGUACAAAAAGUGGUGAUUCAAUUGGCGGUGUUAGGGUGAUGUACAGGUUUGGGAGCUUGUCGCCUUCCUGUGGAGUUUCGUUCUCACAAGUACUAUCGGUAACCGGGUUCCAAAUAGUGUCUGCAAAGUGUUUUAAUCCCUUGUGCAAGAAGCAAAAUUUGCAUCACCCUUACUUUAUCCCCAUUUGUUCCACCCAUCAAAGGCACAAUAAAUAUGUGUUGAAAAGAUGGUACCUGGUGUAUUUUAAUUUAUGGACAUGCGCAUGUGAAAUUAUUACGGAAUCUGUAAAGAACAAUAACGGUUGAUAUUUGUAAUGUACAGUUUGUGUAAUGGAUUUGAAAUGGUACAGGAUGAAUCAAGGAUUAGUGUUCAAAUUGAAUGCAACCAUGGCUGUAAUAUAUAAAUGAUAGAAUUGGAAUGGUAUUGUACAGGAAUUUCUUAAGGCUUUAGGAUUUGGUUUAUGGUUUGGACAUUCAUGAAA